GUGUUAGUAGGUAAAAUAAGAGAAGGGGUGAGGGGGCGGCACCACCUUUCCUUCCCUCCCGAUUGCCCUAGGUAAAAAAUGUAUAUAGUUCUUUUCUUUUGCAUCAAUUCAGCGGCGACGAAACCGCAAUAGAUCUCCGUUUCUCGCCAAACAAACACAAAAUAGCUGCCUUCAGCGGCGACGAAACCGCACCUUUCUUUGGCUUCCUCGGAGCCACCGCUACCCUCGUUUUUUCCUGUAACUAACUCAUCAAGGAGGAUCCAUCUCUGAAACAUAUUUUGGAGGAGAUAGAGACUGGUGGUCCUGCUGCUAUGAUGAGGUACUGGAAUGAUGAGGAGGUUUUGCGGAAGUUGGGACAAACCAUGGGAGUUUCCUUAAUAAACGUGUAAAGGGAUUAGGUAGCUUUUAGCCCUUAAUAUUAUUUCUUUAUUGUUGUUAUUUUAUUUCCACAUCUUCUGUAAGGAGGAUCACUUAUCUUCUGAAUUAUUUCUACUUUUUAAUUUCUUUUAUUAAUUUUAAAAAAUCCAUCUUAGAAGGUGGCUUAAAUUUUUUUUAAAUUUAUUGAAAUUAGACAUUUAUUAUUUCUA
This is a long non-coding RNA of Glycine soja, 587 nucleotides long. RefSeq lists it as uncharacterized. NCBI's taxonomy places the organism in Eukaryota, Viridiplantae, Streptophyta, Magnoliopsida, Fabales, Fabaceae. The record is from RefSeq and is a predicted model, not a curated record. The transcript is spliced from 2 exons.